Molecule: long non-coding RNA, 795 nt
Filed under: Brassica napus (rape)
Lineage: Eukaryota; Viridiplantae; Streptophyta; Magnoliopsida; Brassicales; Brassicaceae
Description: long non-coding RNA (BNAP_LNC009539)
Source: RNAcentral
CUUAUUGAAGAUUCAUUAAUACCUCUAUUAAAAAAGUUAGAUCUAUAUUUUAGAAAUAAGUUUCGACAUAUUAGUAGAAAAUGCUUACAACAUUUUUUAACAUGAUACUAUCUUCCAUCACUUUGACGGAAGCCUGCGAUGUCUAUGAGUGGUCUCCAAAUGGAAGGCCUCUGCCCACCUACUCAACAGGAAUGAUCUAUGAACUAAUCAAAGACCAUCAACCACCUGUCCCUUGUAUGGUCUUCCCGCGGUAUUCCUCGCCACAAUUUCGUCACUCGGCUCACUGUCCUCGACAGAUGCCCUACAAAAGAUCAAAUGUUGAGAUGGGGGAUCCAAAUUGAUCCAACCUGUAUAUUGUGCAAUGCUACAUCAGAAACUCGAGAUCACCUGUACUAUGAAUGUCCCUACUCUUGGAGCUUCUGGAAAGAGCUAUCUCGCAAGGCCCAAUGGAACCCCUCUCGGAACUGGUCUACAGAAUUUGGCUGCAUGCAAGCGAUUCGUUCGCCGAAACAUGAACGACUUCUGGUGCUAUUGGCUUGGCAAGCCUCAAUCUAUCUCCUAUGGACAAAGCGAAAUGACAGACACCACCGACAGCAAUACAGAUCAGUCUCAUCCUUAGCAAAGCAAGCGGACCUCCUCAUCAGGAAUAGAAUCUCGGGCAUCAGGGAGAUAAAUCUCUCCCUCUCAAAGAUGCUCCAACGAUGGUUCCUAAACUAGAGAUCGCGUGAAGUUCGUCUCCCCCUGACUUUUCAUAUCUCCUCUCAUUGGUUCAGUUGUAUUUCCACUAGGGCUAGG